Long non-coding RNA from Gopherus evgoodei (Goodes thornscrub tortoise), 269 nucleotides. RefSeq lists it as uncharacterized. The transcript has 3 exons. The record is from RefSeq and is a predicted model, not a curated record. Lineage: Eukaryota; Metazoa; Chordata; Testudines; Testudinidae.
CCAGCCAGUCAGGCAGCUGCAGAGGCACAGCAGCCAGUAAACAGAGCUGUAAACAGGGGAGUUUCAGAGGGAUAUUCCAGGGGGAGGUUGAGGGGGUGACUAAGACAGAGGAACUGACAGGCUAGUUAAAGGAGUGGGUGGUGGUCUGGUGCCUGCUGGGGGUUUGUGUUGUGUUGUGUUGUGUUCCGUGGACUACCAGGCUUUAGGUGGGAAGGCUAUGACUGAUACAGAGGUAGUAGUGAAAGACACAAUGAGGUUGACUGGAUUUG